RNAcentral lists this long non-coding RNA (1687 nucleotides) under Homo sapiens (human). RNAcentral describes it as "HSALNT0165376". The record is from RNAcentral. Lineage: Eukaryota; Metazoa; Chordata; Mammalia; Primates; Hominidae.
GUGAGUUGUGAGUUAGUAGACAUAAAGGUAAGUGUUUGACCCAGUCUUAUAGGGUGCCACCAGACAGAUAAUUAAUAAUACAGUAAGUACAAUUCUUUGUAAAUCAUGUAAACUUUGUUUCCUCCAACACCAGAAGUGUGGGCUAUUAUUUUCAAAGUAUGGGUGAACUGGGCUGAGUAGGUAGGCAGGGAGUGAGGCUAGAGUUAAGUUAAAAUGCCACAAAACUUGCUACUUUUAGUGAAAUUCAGUUAAUUUUCUUGAAUAAACACUCUACUGGCUGUUAGCAGCUUGUGUUAGUUUCCAGAUUUCUGUAAAGUUGGUCUUAACAGUGUUUGCCACUUUUUCAUUGCUUUUAUGAAUGAGAAGUUGGUGUUUCUUACUCUACCAUUUUUUAUUGAUGUUUUUAUAAGCAUUUUUACUGUAGGUUCUACAGUUAAACGGAAUACACAAUGUCCACAAGGCAAUGAAUAUUGAACUAUUUUCUGAAAAAAAAAAACAGCAUCAUGACUUAUUUGCAUUUUUAAACAAUAUACACUUGUAAAAUUAGACAAUAAAAUUUGAAUAGGCAAAGAAAGAUGAAGUGGUUUAUAUAGUUUAUAUUAUAAUGAGGGUGUUGUAUUUCACAAUAGUGUGGUUUACACAGUUGUGUAUAUUGGAAUGAGGAUGUUGUAAAGAGGGUGAUGAACAAUGUAUUGUCUGAGAUUUUCGUCAAAGACAUUUGCCUUUUAUGGCACAUAUAUCAGUAAGGACACUGAAGAACAGAUAGUUCCAUAGGACAUUUAUGUUAGGCUUUUAUGGUUUUUAAAAAUGUUAUCUGAUUAACAUUUGGAAUUAAUUGUACAUUGAUAUUGAUUCAAAAAUAUAAUCUGUCUGUUUAAAAUGAUAAAUUCAAGGCCAUGUUUCAAAGAACAAUGUUGGGAAGAAUAAUACCUUGUAGAAAAAUAAAUAAAUACAAUGUUAAUCCUUAUGUUUAAUGCUUCCAUUCAUCAAGGAGUUAGGUUAGGCUUGAGAAAAGCAUGUCUAAAAGAAAGAGCUUUUUAGCCAUCAGUAAGAACACCUUUGAAGAUCCUGAAUCACUGUACAAGAGGGACUCCUGGACACCAAACUUUCAUUCCUCCUGUUUUACAUAUUUUAUUCUUAUAAAUGAAACAACAUCAGUCCAAACUCAAAGGUGAAAUUGGUCCAUCAUUUCUUAUUCCUGUGUGUCCUUGAGCAAUUUGAGCACCAGGGUUACUUGAGCUCUGGAAAAAGAAUGGAAUGAUAUCCCACAGCUGGAAAGAAGGUUCAGCGGCGCCUGCAGUGACUUUCUCCUCUGGCUCCUCGGCUGUCCUUCUCAGAGUUGAGAAUGAAGAAAGAGGCUCCAGUAUGUGAUCAAGCUGUCAUUUUGGUCUGAUUCACCUACACAUUAUUCUUCACAUUAGCACAUCCAUUAACAUGUCAAUAGAAAAAUGAAUGCUUUUAGUUUUACAUUGGUUUUGUGUAAAUGUGAUCAUAUUCUUUUCUUUUGCUCUUCUUUUCUUGUUGUGUUUGUUCUUUGUAUUUAAUUGUUAACAAUGAGUCUUGAAGACCAUUCCAUGUCGGCAUAUUUACAUCUACAUUAUUUCUAACUGCUAAAGUAUUCCAUGUUGUGAAAAUAAUAUCAUUUACUUAACCAAUGCCGCAUUGCUGAACAUUUACAUCACUUUAU